ACAGAGGUCCCAAGCGUUGUUCGGAUUCACUGGGCGUAAAGGGUGCGUAGGCGGUCGGGUAAGUCAGACGUGAAAUCCCUCGGCUCAACCGGGGAACUGCGUCUGAUACUGGGUGGCUUGAAUUCGGGAGAGGGAUGCGGAAUUCCAGGUGUAGCGGUGAAAUGCGUAGAUAUCUGGAGGAACACCGGUGGCGAAGGCGGCAUCCUGGACCGAGAUUGACGCUGAGGCGCGAAAGCUAGGGGAGCGAACGGGA
RNAcentral lists this ribosomal RNA (253 nucleotides) under uncultured prokaryote. Its description in RNAcentral is "partial 16S ribosomal RNA". It matches the Rfam family "Bacterial small subunit ribosomal RNA", at positions 525 to 777 of the family's 1533-position model. The record is from RNAcentral.